GAGUUUGAUCCUGGCUCAGAUUGAACGCUGGCGGCAGGCCUAACACAUGCAAGUCGAGCGGUAGAGAGAAGCUUGCUUCUCUUGAGAGCGGCGGACGGGUGAGUAAUGCCUAGGAAUCUGCCUGGUAGUGGGGGAUAACGCUCGGAAACGGACGCUAAUACCGCAUACGUCCUACGGGAGAAAGCAGGGGACCUUCGGGCCUUGCGCUAUCAGAUGAGCCUAGGUCGGAUUAGCUAGUUGGUGAGGUAAUGGCUCACCAAGGCGACGAUCCGUAACUGGUCUGAGAGGAUGAUCAGUCACACUGGAACUGAGACACGGUCCAGACUCCUACGGGAGGCAGCAGUGGGGAAUAUUGGACAAUGGGCGAAAGCCUGAUCCAGCCAUGCCGCGUGUGUGAAGAAGGUCUUCGGAUUGUAAAGCACUUUAAGUUGGGAGGAAGGGCAGUAAAAUUAAUAACUUUGCUGUUUGACGUUACCGACAGAAUAAGCACCGGCUAACUCUGUGCCAGCCGCCG
Molecule: ribosomal RNA, 514 nt
Filed under: uncultured bacterium
Lineage: Bacteria
Description: bacterial SSU rRNA
Rfam family: Bacterial small subunit ribosomal RNA
Source: RNAcentral